UACGAAGGGGGCUAGCGUUGCUCGGAAUGACUGGGCGUAAAGGGCGCGUAGGCGGCUUGUCGAGUCGGGUGUGAAAUUCCUGGGCUUAACCUGGGGGCUGCAUUCGAUACGUAUGGGCUUGAGUGCGGAAGAGGGUCGUGGAAUUCCCAGUGUAGAGGUGAAAUUCGUAGAUAUUGGGAAGAACACCGGUGGCGAAGGCGGCGACCUGGUCCGCGACUGACGCUGAGGCGCGAAAGCGUGGGGAGCAAACAGG
RNAcentral lists this ribosomal RNA (253 nucleotides) under uncultured bacterium. RNAcentral's name for it is "partial 16S ribosomal RNA". It matches the Rfam family "Bacterial small subunit ribosomal RNA", at positions 524 to 776 of the family's 1533-position model. The record is from RNAcentral.